RNAcentral lists this ribosomal RNA (566 nucleotides) under Streptomyces sp. udsc1. RNAcentral's name for it is "bacterial SSU rRNA". It matches the Rfam family "Bacterial small subunit ribosomal RNA", at positions 160 to 733 of the family's 1533-position model. The record is from RNAcentral. Lineage: Bacteria; Bacillati; Actinomycetota; Actinomycetes; Kitasatosporales; Streptomycetaceae.
GGUCUAAUACCGGAUACUGAUCCGCUUGGGCAUCCUGGAGGAUCGAAAGCUCCGGCGGUGCAGGAUGAGCCCGCGGCCUAUCAUCUAGUUGGUGAGGUAAUGGCUCACCAAGGCGACGACGGGUAGCCGGCCUGAUAGGGCGACCGGCCACACUGGGACUGAUAACGGCCCAGACUCCUACGGGAGGCAGCAGUGGGGAAUAUUGCACAAUGGGCGAAAGCCUGAUGCAUCGACGCCGCGUGAGGGAUGACGGCCUUCGGGUUGUAAACCUCUUUCAUCAGGGAAGAAGCAAAAGUGACGGUACCUGCAUAAGAAGCGCCGGCUAACUACGUGCCAGCAGCCGCGGUAAUACGUAGGGCGCGAGCGUUGUCCGGAAUUAUUGGGCGUAAAGAGCUCGUAAGCGGCUUGUCACGUCGGUUGUGAAAGCCCGGGGGCUUUAACCCCUGGUUCUGCAGUCGAUACGGGGCAGGCUAGAGUUUCGGGAGGGGAGAUCGGGACUUCCUGGGUGUAUUGGUGAAAUGCGCAAAAUUCAUGAGGAACACCGGUGGCGAAAGGAGGAUUCUCUU